Coregonus clupeaformis (lake whitefish) is the source of this 550-nucleotide long non-coding RNA. RefSeq lists it as uncharacterized. The transcript has 3 exons. Lineage: Eukaryota; Metazoa; Chordata; Actinopteri; Salmoniformes; Salmonidae. The record is from RefSeq and is a predicted model, not a curated record.
AUUUGUACCAAACAGGUCAAGCUCCUUUCUCUCCCUCUUCCUGUUUAACUGGUGAGACUGAGACCAACAACAGAGGAUCUCACUUGUUGAAGACCACAGGACUGAAAAUGGAUGAAUGCAACAACCAUGUCUCUGUCCCUAACAAAUACAGUCAUGGGUGGUAACUACAAUUCACUCGAAAGAUAAAAGGAGAACUGAGAGUCCCGCCCAAGAACAGGAAACUAUAAAGAUAUAUGCUUAUCACCCAAUGCUUCGGAAUUCAGACUGUGAACAGUCAAGGGCUGAUGUGGAUGUGGUGUUGGAGUCAGGCGCAGGACACAGAAGCUUAGUCGAUCCGACUUUUAAUAGUCACAGGAGCAAAGAACAAUCCAAACAGGCCUCAAAAACAGGAGGCGAGCGAAUACGCAAAACAGUGCGUAAAGUGCGAACAGCACUAACAAUAAGCAAACAAACAACCUACACCAAACGACAGGCGUACAACGACACACAACUACAAACAAAACCAAAGGACACUUAUAGGUGACAUAAUCAAGACGUGAUAAGGAACAGG